This 148-nucleotide small RNA is filed under the name Macaca fascicularis (crab-eating macaque). RNAcentral describes it as "Metazoan signal recognition particle RNA (ENSMFAG00000064260.1)". Lineage: Eukaryota; Metazoa; Chordata; Mammalia; Primates; Cercopithecidae. The record is from Rfam by way of RNAcentral.
CCUGGGCAUAGUGGCAUGCACCUGUGGUCCCAGCUGCUUGGGAGGCUGAGGCAGGAGGAUCACUUGAGCCCAGGAGUUUGAGGCUGCAGUGAGCCAUGAUUGCACCACUGCACUCUAGCCUGGGCAACAGAGUGAGACCCUGUCUCUU